RNAcentral lists this non-coding RNA (29 nucleotides) under Homo sapiens (human). The record is from RNAcentral. Lineage: Eukaryota; Metazoa; Chordata; Mammalia; Primates; Hominidae.
UCCUGAAAAAGAGCAAGGGUCCCAUAGGU